CGUCACAGCUCCAUUAGACGAUAUUCUCUAAAAUGCCACUGCACGGUGAUGUCAAUGAGCCGUGACGGACGAGUCCAUUGUGAAGAUGUAAACAACAGGAAGUGUGAAAGUGACAUGGAGCAAUAUGCUGGGUUGGUGUGCAGAUGGCUUGUGCAAGGCUUUCUGGUCUUGGCGACCUUGACCUUUGUCAUACAGUGGCUUCUACCGAGGGGAAGGAAAUAUUUUCGAUAUCAACGAUCAUCAGAAGAAUCAGCUACAGGAAGGGGAGAUAACUCAGAUGAGGAACGGAAGGCGAGAAUUAGACAGAAGCUACAAGAAGAACAUACACAGAAGGCUAACAGCUACAAGGACCGUAUUCUGACACCAAGGGAGGAGGCCAAGAGGAUUCAAAAAGAAGAAGAAUUUGAAAAGUUUCUGGGACCAGCUUGGAAAGGUCAAGGUCACUCAUUAGGGGGCAAUGAUAAUGAGGAACCUGACAGUACUGAAGUGGGUGGGGAAAGUCAACCCAACAGGACUGCAGCACGCAGGAGGAAGCUGCCCGAGGAACCCACGUUAACAUGUGGGGAUGUGAAGCCCAAGACAGGGAAACCUAUACAAGUGAUAAAGCUGCCCGAUGAGCCAGAAGAGAGUGAGGAACACUGUGUGAAUGUGAUACUCAGAACACCUGUCGGGAAAAGAUGCAGCAGGAGGUUCCUCCAUACACAUACCGUGAAGGUACUGCUUGACUUCAUGGCGACUCUGGGCUUCAGCCAGACGUUCUUCACUAUAUCAAUGUCAUAUCCUAGGAUGAAUUUAUCGGAGCACCUCAACAAGACUUUGUGGGAGAUGGGGUUCCAGAGACAAGUGACCUUGAAUAUAGAGGAGAAAGACACAUGAGACAGUGACACCUGUCCUAAUGUACCAUGUUGCACAGAAGUGCAAUGUUAAGCCCUUGACCUUCAGUUAGGUUAUACUACUCAACAUUCGCUAAGGACAAAGACAGCCCUCUGUAGUAGAAAGUAUGUUUGUAAGCAAAUGUUGUGUAGUAUAUAAAGAUAACAGUUCUUGGUCUAUUUAUGAUCACAAACUCUAACUCCAUCUAUAAAACAAUAUUUGAGAAUGUUACGAUGUAUCAUUGAGCUAUCCUGAUGCAGUCCUGUUGCAAAAAGGUUUCAGUUAUAGACAUUCGCCAGAAGUGAUUUACGUUGUUUCACUUGACAUGCUAAAAAUAGAAUGGAGAUUACCCAGUCAGGUAGUUCCCAGUCUGAAGCAACCCAGUGUCUUGUUUGUAGGAAACUCCCAACAUUAUCGUUGCAUGAUAUGCGAAGUCUUGACUUUAAUGUAUAAUGAGUAAGUACAUCAUAGAGUUAAUAGGAGGGUUUUUUUUAUCCAAAAUAUAUAACAUUGACCGAGGAAAAAGUCUGCGGUCAAUAUUUCAUUUUUAAGGUCCAUAAAACACAGGUGUUAAACUCAUAUGACAUCUAUAAUUGUAUAUUGUUAGUGAGUAAAAUAUAUAAUCAUUUUUCAUUAUGGCUCUAUACCUAAGAAACAUGACAUAAAUAUCAAAUGAUCUCUUUUUUCCACAUUAACUCAGCUGAAAGUGAAAAUAUCCUUGAUGCCAGUUUGGUUUGAUCUCCAUUCCUUCCAUUGACCUAUGUAACCUGACACUGGAACUCCAGAUAUCUGUCAGCUCCCAUCCAGUUCUGUAACCUGACACUGGAACUCCAGAUAUCUGUCAGCUCCCAUCCAGUUCUGUAACCUGACACUGGAACUCCAGAUAUCUGUCAGCUCCCAUCCAGUUCUGUAACCCGACACUGGAACUCCAGAUAUCUGUCAGCUCCCAUCCAGUUCUGUAACCCGACACUGGAACUCCAGAUAUCUGUCAGCUCCCAUCCAGUUCUGUAACCCGACACUGGAACUCCAGAUAUCUGUCAGCUCCCAUCCAGUUCUGUAACCUGACACUGGAACUCCAGAUAUCUGUCAGCUCCCAUCCAGUUCUGUAACCCGACACUGGAACUCCAGAUAUCUGUCAGCCACCCACUGCCCUUUCUAAGGUUCUUCACCACAAACACACUUGACAGUCAUAGAGUGGUAUUUACCACAGGACAGAUGAGUGAGUGAGUGAGUGAGUGUAGUUUUACACCGCUUUUAGUAAUAUUCUAGCAAUACCAAAGUGAGGCACCAGAAAUGUGCUUCACAUAUUGUAACCGUGUGGGGAAUUGAACCCAGGUCUUUGGCUUGAUAGUGAACACAGUAAACACAAAGUCACCCUACCGCCCCAACAGAUAAAAACAAUCUAAUACUGCUAUUAUAAGAGCAAGAACAAGGUUUUUUAUGUUUUUGUUAUCCCACCUUAAGACUUUAUUACAACAAAUCAAAAACUGUGUUUUAAAUGCAUGGACCUGACAAGGACCUAUUUGCAUUGUUCUUGUAUAUGGUAAAUAGCCGCAGCUUGAAUCUAACACCUGUGGUGUUCUACUGUAAGGGCUCUAAUUAUAUUAUAUUUGGUACUCUGUAAAUUGACCUUGUCAAGAAAGAGAAUGGUCUUUAAGAAAAAGAAGACAAUUUCAUUUAAUAGAUUAAGUUUACAAUUUAAGGUAUGAUGCAGUGUAUGAAAUAAGAAUCAUGUUCAUGAUGAUACACUUCAUAUGAGAAUCAAGAGUCGUAUGUACAAUGUUAGCACUCAUCUGAAGAUAAAGUAACAUAUAUCAUGCACAUAGUUAGGGGUGGGUAUUGCAGAGAAUUUUCAUAUUGCGAUAUAUUGCGAUGCGAAAGCAUGUAUUGCGAUAUGUAUUGCAAUAUAUUGCAUGA
Molecule: unclassified non-coding RNA, 2790 nt
Filed under: Haliotis rubra (blacklip abalone)
Lineage: Eukaryota; Metazoa; Mollusca; Gastropoda; Lepetellida; Haliotidae
Description: uBX domain-containing protein 8-like, transcript variant X1
Source: RNAcentral